Scophthalmus maximus (turbot) is the source of this 1797-nucleotide long non-coding RNA. RefSeq lists it as uncharacterized. NCBI's taxonomy places the organism in Eukaryota, Metazoa, Chordata, Actinopteri, Pleuronectiformes, Scophthalmidae. The transcript has 3 exons. The record is from RefSeq and is a predicted model, not a curated record.
UUCAGCCUUCGUUUGUUGUAUUGCUUGCAAGCUUGUAAAAAAACAAAAACAUUAACAGGUUUAAAUUAAGUUAUGAGCAUUUAGCCAGAAUAUAUUAGCAUAUUAAUGAGAGAAAAGCCCAGUGAAACUGUACAACAUAAAUCCAGAGACCGUUCAGUGUUGCGUCACCAGCCGUCGUGCUGCGCGUGCGCGACAACAAGUAGCGCGCGCCCAUCGCAGAAUAUCGCAGCUACACAUGCGCGUGUUUACAUUUAGCAUUAGCUAGCAGUUAGCUAGCGACUGGCGCUGAUGCUAAUUCGAAAACAGAGUUGACUUCGUGCGAACACGUGUGACUCGGUGCUCGGCUCAUUUCCACAGGUUACGGGAGCAACCAGCAACUUUGCACUUGGCUCCAUAUUCAAGGUGUUUUACUUAACGUUGCUUCAUACUCACAGGUAGCUGUCCAUGGUUCUGAUCAGGAAAAAUACAGCCCAACUCUUAACCCCAUUUAAGAGGCAACAGACAACUUUCCUGCCCCUAGUGGUUCCAGGUGGUAUUAGUCGUAAAGACGCUGCAGCAGCAAGACACAGUGGGGGUAGAGCAGCAAGAAGAAAGACCGGCGAUUCAUCUGGAGGCCAAAGCUCCCGUGUCAGCCACCAGCCGACCACCGGCCCCCGGGAAGUGCUCUGCCUCAGGGGUCGCUUUUACCUCUCACGUCUGGGUGGCAAAGGAAAAGGGACACUUAUCCUGCUAAGCUGAAAAGAGCAUCGUCACAUCUAAAUCAUCAUUGUCGAACGCGAAAACAGAAUAAUACCUGUCAAACCAUCUCACACGCUGCCUAGUCACCACUUGUCUAGACAUCCUCGUGCUUCCCCUUCCACUCCCAUCCCAAAUCCUGUUAGCGCCAGCAGCCUGCAUCACAACAACCUACAUCCCACAGUAAUCACACCGACCGACUCAGGCGCGAGGGUGUCGGAGCCCCGACAGAGAAACGGCAGUAAAUCCUGGUGAGGGGCACGAGGCGGGAGGGAGACUGCUGAGACCCAGGAAGUGGAGGGAGAGCGAUUUUCUUUUGUGCAUUCAAAUCUUAUUUGGAAAAGGAGGAUAAGCGUUCUGGAGAAGCAUAUUGCUGUGGCCCCGCUCCAAGUGUCUACCAGCUCUGAGAGAAAAAAAGCGAGGCAUUGAUCCAAACACAUUUUUAUACCACGGAUUUUUAAAAACUGUUGGUCACGACAUUUAUUCUUCAUUUAUGUCGACUGGAGAGCGAGACAGUUUUGGUUUCACAUGUCAACUAACAGGACAGGCAAGGACAGCACAACAUAGUGUGUGACGUGUUUUCAAUGUGGUCUUUGAUUUUUGUGCAGCAAGAUAGAACAAAGGACAUUUGAGUGCAGCAACUAACAGAAAAGUACAAUGUUAAAUAGCUGCAGCAAUAAUUUUACAACAAUGUGUAUUUUAUGGUCUAGGAAACUAUUUUAAUUAGUUGGGUGGUUAAAACCUGGAUUUCUGUUCAUCUUUUUAUGAUGUUUGUUGAAAUGCCUUGCGACUGUGCCGCAAACUAAUUUCCCCAAUGCAUGGGGACAUGCGCAGUAUCUAUCUAUCAAUACAAAAUAAUACUUUUCAAUACUUUAAUCAAAGGAAAAUAAACAUUUAUCUUAAAACAUGCGACCAAAGUAAAUGACUGUCUUAAUUUGGCAAAAGUAUUGGUAAAAUUAGAGAUUGUGCUGUCCGAGAGUGAAGAACAAAAUCUGAGUGAACAUUCUGAUACCUGCUUCAUUUACUUGACAGAUUUUCUACUUGACUUGAGUUUUGAGAUUC